This 365-nucleotide long non-coding RNA is filed under the name Capsicum annuum. RNAcentral describes it as "long non-coding RNA (CANN_LNC020167)". The record is from RNAcentral. Lineage: Eukaryota; Viridiplantae; Streptophyta; Magnoliopsida; Solanales; Solanaceae.
UGUGAUCUUAAAUUAAAGAUAUCUCAAAUGUACCAAAAUAUUGUUUAAUCUUAUGGUCUUAAACAUGUUAUGUGGAAAGUGAUCAGAGAAAUAAAGACCGAAAUACCUUUUUGUACUGAUCAUAGAAAUUUGACAGCAAGAAUGAAAAGGGCAGAAUCCAAAGCUCAUUUUGAACGGCUAUCAAAUGAAGCUAUCAACAAAGCGUGAGUGCUUUACAUUUGUGUUUUCCUAGUUUACGAACAUAAGCAAUUUAUCCUGCUGUCUUAUUGUCAUUAACCAAGCAAUGCUAUACUUCUUGACAGCAGUAGUUACAGAUGAAGGACAGAUUAGGAGGAAGAAGAAGAAGUAUGAGAUAAGGAAGAGAG